GGGUUGUGAGGUUAAGCGACUAAGCGUACACGGUGGAUGCCCUGGCAGUCAGAGGCGAUGAAGGACGUGCUAAUCUGCGAUAAGCGUCGGUAAGGUGAUAUGAACCGUUAUAACCGGCGAUUUCCGAAUGGGGAAACCCAGUGUGUUUCGACACACUAUCAUUAACUGAAUCCAUAGGUUAAUGAGGCGAACCGGGGGAACUGAAACAUCUAAGUACCCCGAGGAAAAGAAAUCAACCGAGAUUCCCCCAGUAGCGGCGAGCGAACGGGGAGCAGCCCAGAGCCUGAAUCAGUGUGUGUGUUAGUGGAAGCGUCUGGAAAGGCGCGCGAUACAGGGUGACAGCCCCGUACACAAAAAUGCACAUGCUGUGAGCUCGAUGAGUAGGGCGGGACACGUGGUAUCCUGUCUGAAUAUGGGGGGACCAUCCUCCAAGGCUAAAUACUCCUGACUGACCGAUAGUGAACCAGUACCGUGAGGGAAAGGCGAAAAGAACCCCGGCGAGGGGAGUGAAAAAGAACCUGAAACCGUGUACGUACAAGCAGUGGGAGCACGCUUAGGCGUGUGACUGCGUACCUUUUGUAUAAUGGGUCAGCGACUUAUAUUCUGUAGCAAGGUUAACCGAAUAGGGGAGCCGAAGGGAAACCGAGUCUUAACUGGGCGUUAAGUUGCAGGGUAUAGACCCGAAACCCGGUGAUCUAGCCAUGGGCAGGUUGAAGGUUGGGUAACACUAACUGGAGGACCGAACCGACUAAUGUUGAAAAAUUAGCGGAUGACUUGUGGCUGGGGGUGAAAGGCCAAUCAAACCGGGAGAUAGCUGGUUCUCCCCGAAAGCUAUUUAGGUAGCGCCUCGUGAAUUCAUCUCCGGGGGUAGAGCACUGUUUCGGCAAGGGGGUCAUCCCGACUUACCAACCCGAUGCAAACUGCGAAUACCGGAGAAUGUUAUCACGGGAGACACACGGCGGGUGCUAACGUCCGUCGUGAAGAGGGAAACAACCCAGACCGCCAGCUAAGGUCCCAAAGUCAUGGUUAAGUGGGAAACGAUGUGGGAAGGCCCAGACAGCCAGGAUGUUGGCUUAGAAGCAGCCAUCAUUUAAAGAAAGCGUAAUAGCUCACUGGUCGAGUCGGCCUGCGCGGAAGAUGUAACGGGGCUAAACCAUGCACCGAAGCUGCGGCAGCGACACUAUGUGUUGUUGGGUAGGGGAGCGUUCUGUAAGCCUGUGAAGGUGUGCUGUGAGGCAUGCUGGAGGUAUCAGAAGUGCGAAUGCUGACAUAAGUAACGAUAAAGCGGGUGAAAAGCCCGCUCGCCGGAAGACCAAGGGUUCCUGUCCAACGUUAAUCGGGGCAGGGUGAGUCGACCCCUAAGGCGAGGCCGAAAGGCGUAGUCGAUGGGAAACAGGUUAAUAUUCCUGUACUUGGUGUUACUGCGAAGGGGGGACGGAGAAGGCUAUGUUGGCCGGGCGACGGUUGUCCCGGUUUAAGCGUGUAGGCUGGUUUUCCAGGCAAAUCCGGAAAAUCAAGGCUGAGGCGUGAUGACGAGGCACUACGGUGCUGAAGCAACAAAUGCCCUGCUUCCAGGAAAAGCCUCUAAGCAUCAGGUAACAUCAAAUCGUACCCCAAACCGACACAGGUGGUCAGGUAGAGAAUACCAAGGCGCUUGAGAGAACUCGGGUGAAGGAACUAGGCAAAAUGGUGCCGUAACUUCGGGAGAA
This 1709-nucleotide ribosomal RNA is filed under the name Escherichia coli. RNAcentral's name for it is "partial 23S ribosomal RNA". It matches the Rfam family "Bacterial large subunit ribosomal RNA", at positions 1 to 1744 of the family's 2925-position model. The record is from RNAcentral. Lineage: Bacteria; Pseudomonadati; Pseudomonadota; Gammaproteobacteria; Enterobacterales; Enterobacteriaceae.